GGAGAGGAAAGCGGAAUUCCCAGUGUAGACGGUGAAAUGCGUAGAUAUUGGGAGGAACAACAGUGGCGGAGGGGGGCUUUCUGGACUGCAACUGACGCUGAGGCUCGAAAGUCCAGGGGAGCGAACGGGAUUUAGAUACCCCGGUAGUCCUGGCCCGUAAACGAUGGAUACUAGGUGUGGGAGGUAUCGACCCCUACCGUGCCGGAGUUAACGCAAUAAGUAAUCCCGCCUGGGGAGUACGGUCGCAAGACUGAAACUCAAAGGAAUUGACGGGGACCCGCACAAGCGGUGGAGUAUGUGGUUUAAUUCGAAGCAACGCGAAGAACCUUACCAGGCCUUGACAUUGACUGUAAGAGUUAGAGAUAGCUCCCUCUCUUCGGAGACAGGAAAACAGGUGGUGCAUGGCUGUCGUCAGCUCGUGUCGUGAGAUGGUGGGUUGAGUCCCGCAAUGAGCGCAACCCCUGUUCUUUGUUGCCAUCACGUAAAGGUGGGCACUCAAAGGAGACUGCCGCGGAGAACGCGGAGGAAGGCGGGGAUGACGUCAAGUCAUCAUGCCCCUUAUGGUCUGGGCUACACACGUACUACAAUGAAACGGGCAGAGAGCAGCGAACCCGCGAGGGCAAGCGAACCUCAAAAACCGUUUCCCAGUUCGGAUUGCAGGCUGCAACUCGCCUGCAUGAAGUCGGAAGCGCUAGUAAUCGCAGGUCAGCAUACUGCGGUGAAUACGUUCCCGGGUCUUGUACACACCGCCCGUCACACCCCGGAAGUAAUUCACACCCGAAGCCGGCGCAGCCGUCUAAGGUGGGGAAGUUUAAAGGGUGAAGUCGUAACAAGGUAGCCG
RNAcentral lists this ribosomal RNA (841 nucleotides) under uncultured bacterium. RNAcentral's name for it is "bacterial SSU rRNA". It matches the Rfam family "Bacterial small subunit ribosomal RNA", at positions 651 to 1502 of the family's 1533-position model. The record is from RNAcentral.